RNAcentral lists this ribosomal RNA (250 nucleotides) under uncultured bacterium. Its description in RNAcentral is "partial 16S ribosomal RNA". It matches the Rfam family "Bacterial small subunit ribosomal RNA", at positions 57 to 305 of the family's 1533-position model. The record is from RNAcentral.
GCAAGUCGAACGGUAACAGCGAAGUUUACUUUGGCUGGCGAGUGGCGCACGGGUGAGUAACGGUACACAAUCUACCUCUAAGUGGGGACUAGUCUAGGGAAACUUAGAAUAAUACCCCAUGGUAUUAUCGGCUCGCAUGGUCUGAUAAUUAAAGCUCCGGUGCUUGGAGAUGAGUGUGCGUCCUAUUAGCUAGAUGGUAAGGUAACGGCUUACCAUGGCAGUGAUAGGUAGGGGGCGUGAGAGCGUGGUC